UGAACAGCGGAGGGAUCAUUA
RNAcentral lists this ribosomal RNA (21 nucleotides) under Pestalotiopsis crassiuscula. RNAcentral describes it as "partial 18S ribosomal RNA". The record is from RNAcentral. Lineage: Eukaryota; Fungi; Ascomycota; Sordariomycetes; Amphisphaeriales; Sporocadaceae.